UUUACCUAUGAUAAACAGGUAUCUUGAAGCCUACUUCAGAGUUUAAUUAUUUCUUAUUCACAUGAACCUCCCCCUUAUGGAGAAGAUGGCAAACAGGUACUGCCAUAUUCCUUAUUGCCAAGUCUUCCAGCAGCAAAUAAAAAUCAUGCAUCUGUUCUUCCUUUCCAUUUUAUCUUUGCUAUUGAAACACACUGGCAGCAGAGAAGUUUUAUUUGGUCAUAAUAAUUUCACAGAAUAUCAAGUGGGCAACAUGAACCUGAUCCUCUCUGUCCCACAUGGUGGGUCAAUGGAACCUGAAGACAUCCCUGAUCGAGAGGCUGGCUGUUGGGAUGCAGAGACAUCUUCUUGUAUUUUCUCUCAUGACUGUCCUCCUGGAAGCAUUCAAGACUAUAAGAACUGCAAAGUGUCUACCAACCAAGACAGGUAUACCAUAGAAGUGGCUCAGGUUCUUGCUGAAGAAAUCAACAAGAUUACUGAUGGCUUCUUCCCACAUAUCGUUAUAAAUCACCUACAGAGGUUCAAGAUGGAUGCUAACAGGGAAAAGGAAGAAGCUGCCUUUGGAAUUCCCCAAGCAGAACAGGCCUGGGAGGAUUAUAUGGGAUUUUUGACCACUGCAAAAUCACUGAUGACAAGGGGCCUGAUUCUAGAUAUCCAUGGACAAGCACAUCCUGAACAGUGGAUAGAACUAGGCUACACAGUUUCAAAAACUUCCCUUAACUCUGGUGUCUUUUCUGCGUCAUGUUCCUCCAUUAGAUAUCUGGCCAAUCAGCUAGUUAGCGUGUCUUUUGAGACUCUGCUUGCAGGGAACAGAAGUUUGGGUAAAUAUAUUGAAGAACAAAAUAACAGUUAUGUUUGUGUGCCUUCUCCAUCCAAUCCUAGCCCCAGUAAUGGGAACUAUUAUAGUGGUGGAUACAUAACAAAGACUUUUGGCUCCCGUGAUUCUGGUGCCGUUGAUGCCAUUCAGAUGGAGCUACCCCAGUGGGUUAGGGCACCUGAAGAGCGUCUCAGAUUCUGUAAAGCAUUAGCAAGAGCUGUAAUGAAAUUCUGGCAAACUAAUUACUGUAGCCAGUCCAACCAUGAAUUUCUGCCAUGCUGA
Molecule: long non-coding RNA, 1096 nt
Filed under: Anas platyrhynchos platyrhynchos (common mallard)
Lineage: Eukaryota; Metazoa; Chordata; Aves; Anseriformes; Anatidae
Description: lncRNA (ENSAPLG00000026994.1)
Source: RNAcentral